GCCAGACGCUCUAAGCUUGCACUCCCUGGGAUAGUGUUUUUGAAUUAUCGUCCACAGUUCCACGUUGACGAGAGAAUUUCUUCGGGUAUGGUACCGAGUCCACGACGAUACCCGGCGGCGACAGAAGGGACAGCAUAAACUCGCCUUUUCGACGGUCGACUGGAAGCACGGUUUACACAGCGUGUGGUUACACGGGAGGGUGACGGGCUCCACGAGGAUUUCCAUGCAGAUCCCGCACUGGCACUCGGACAGCGAGGGGAUGGCGUCUUUGGGUAGAGCCAUUUCAAUAUGUUAGUAAAGCCGACUAAACAACGACACCUGCACGAAAAAGAAUCCUAUUUUCGGCCAACCACAGAGAGAGCAAAAGCAGUUUUGUGUUUCAGUAUUAUGCCCAGAAGCGUAUCAGAAUUCGGAGAACAGGAGCAUCCAACACGUCUUGAAGCAAAAAGGCGCUCUCAGGGUCAGGCAAACAGGAAUACCCCGGAGGGCGGCGUCUUUGUCCAUUUUCAAGGCAAACGUCCCGCCAGCAAAUAAAUGCAGGUUUUCGUCGGAGGAGCCUGGCUGCUCCGCGGCAUGAACACCGCGGCUGCGGCUCCCGGGGCAGCGAGGGGAACGCGCCAAGUCCUCUCCUCCCCUCACCCG
RNAcentral lists this long non-coding RNA (642 nucleotides) under Homo sapiens (human). RNAcentral describes it as "HSALNT0067393". The record is from RNAcentral. Lineage: Eukaryota; Metazoa; Chordata; Mammalia; Primates; Hominidae.